GGGCCUCAUUUUUACUAUGUUCAGAUAGCAAUGAUGACCAGACACUGUUUUCAUGACUGUCUCUGCAAGCUAUAAAUAUAGUUUUCCUUCUAUCAACAUCAAAGUACGUGAAGUAUCCUCCGGGUUUUGGACAUCUCCUUCAAACUUUCUAUGGACUCAUUUGUCAUCAGCUAUUACAGAUAUUAAAACAUCAUACAGUGUGCUGUAUUCCCACUAUUUUGCACUUCAUGAAGAAGCUUGUAGAAAUUGAUACUUCAAGUAGGACCAAGCCAGGCUGCUGACUGCCUGAGAUACGUGUCUGAACAGCUUUACUUCAGGGAAUAAAUACUGCCAUUGCAGACGUGACUCCUUGUGGACAAAAAAGCUUUUUCCAUGACCCAUGUAGCUCAUUUCCCAUAAUACACGUGCUUUAUUACGCAGCUGUUCAUUCAUUAUGCCUCCAACUAGGUGUGACAUUUUUCUUAAUCGUAGACAGAUUAAAGUGGAACAUCGAUGUAUUGAAUACAAAUUGCUUUUAACCCCUUUGAAGAACGUGCAGGAACCACCCCUGUUUUCAUCCCAAUGUAACAGAUAACAAACACACACACAGAGGCAAUCUCAAUAUCUAGAUAUUUAAUUUAAAUACCGGAGUUAUUAAUUUACAUAACUAUCUUCCUUAAAAAUGUUUUUCCAUGCCAGUACUUUUUGUGUAUUGAUGAUAAAUUAAUAUCCCCUUAGGGCAUGUUAAAACUUGUAACUUCAUCUUUGCAGAUCCCUAAUCAGCUUCAGUUAUUAAAAAUGAUUGCUUGGAGUAUGACAUAGCACUUUUUAGGUUAUUAUUUUAGAUGUGUAGAGUUUGCACAGAAGCCUGUUCCGAUUCAGCAAUUGUCUAUCUGUAUUAGCUAAAAAGUAGGUCAAACAGACCUGCUAGCACAGGCUAACAGAGGCCAAAGCCUCAAAGGAAUUGCUGCUUGCCUUGUUUAUCAUAUGUUUCUUACUACAAAACAUCUUUAGCUUUUACAGACUAGUCUUUACAUUCUGCUUUUUCUGAACUACUUAGAGGUUAAAUAAAGAAUUAGUAUUUUCAGUAAAUAAAAAUUAUAGCAGCUGGUCUGUUAAGAGUGACUAAAAUUAGAUAGCCUUUUUUUUUCUAAACAUAGCUGGGUCAUACAGAGUUGUAAGAAUUAUACACAUACACUGUAUAGUGUAAGUUUUCAGUUUGUCAGCUUUAAAAUGUUUAUUAUCAUAAAGUAUAAAAUAUCCUCACACUUUCUUAUUCCUUCCAUUGGCCUCUUAAGAAUCUUUGCUGUUAGAAUAUCCAGGGAAAGGGUGGCAAAAGCUGCCUAUAAAAGCAGUUAAAAGGCCAAAGGGUAAUGGAAUUAAUGCCGGUGACCAUUUUGCUGUUUUGAGUUACACUGAGCAUACACAUGAUCAGUUCUAAACAUUAUCUUUCAAAAUGAAAAAAAAUCAUCAUGAUGGAGAACAGUUCAGAGUUAAUCGCAUCCUUCCCCUUAAACAUAUGUAUUUCCUAAUUUAGUUUUAUUGAAUACAUCCUUAACAGACCCAGGUUUAGUUGUCUUCUAAGCUCAUAAUGUUAGGCUUAAUGAGUCCACCUCCUCCAUAAAGCCUCAAUUACAAAGGUACUGCUGGGGGUCAGAAGCCUUUCACCAAAUGUACUCUACAGUCUUUUAGCAAGUUGUUGGACUGAGCCCCCAGGUAACAAAACCAUGAACUUUUAUAACUUACUUUGCUUUGUUCCUUUCAUAGUAUUUUUAAUUAGCAAGAA
Pezoporus occidentalis (night parrot) is the source of this 1765-nucleotide long non-coding RNA. RefSeq lists it as uncharacterized. The transcript has 3 exons. Lineage: Eukaryota; Metazoa; Chordata; Aves; Psittaciformes; Psittacidae. The record is from RefSeq and is a predicted model, not a curated record.